UGACAGUACUCCUACGGGAGGCAGCAGUGGGGAAUAUUGGACAAUGGGGGGAAAACCCCUGAUCCAGCAAUGCCGCGUGAAUGAAGAAGGCCUUAGGGUUGUAAAGUUCUUUCACCUGUGAAGAUAAUGACGGUAGCAGGAGAAGAAGACCCCCGGCUAACUCCGUGCCAGCAGCCGCGGUAAGACGGAGGGGGGCGUAGCGUUGUUCGGAAUGACUGGGCGUAAAGGGCGCGUAGGCGGUUUUUUAAGUUGAGGCGUGAAAGCCCUGGGCUUAACCCAGGAGGUGCGUUUCAUACUGGAAGACUUGAGUGCGAGAGAGGAAAGUGGAAUUCCUAGUGUAGAGGUGAAAUUCGUAGAUAUUAGGAAGAACACCUGUGGCGAAGGCGGCUUUCUGGCUCGCAACUGACGCUGAGGCGCGAAAGCGUGGGGAGCAAACAGGAUUAGAUACCCCUGGUAG
This 457-nucleotide ribosomal RNA is filed under the name uncultured bacterium. RNAcentral describes it as "bacterial SSU rRNA". It matches the Rfam family "Bacterial small subunit ribosomal RNA", at positions 328 to 793 of the family's 1533-position model. The record is from RNAcentral.